RNAcentral lists this ribosomal RNA (253 nucleotides) under uncultured bacterium. RNAcentral describes it as "partial 16S ribosomal RNA". It matches the Rfam family "Bacterial small subunit ribosomal RNA", at positions 524 to 776 of the family's 1533-position model. The record is from RNAcentral.
UACAGAGGUCUCAAGCGUUGUUCGGAUUCAUUGGGCGUAAAGGGUGCGUAGGUGGCGCGCUAAGUCAGGUGUGAAAUUUCGGAGCUUAACUCCGAAACUGCAUUUGAUACUGGCGUGCUUGAGGACUGGAGAGGAGACUGGAAUUCAUGGUGUAGCAGUGAAAUGCGUAGAGAUCAUGAGGAAGACCAGUGGCGAAGGCGGGUCUCUGGACAGUUCCUGACACUGAGGCACGAAGGCCAGGGGAGAAAACGGG